CGGGGAGCACCACAACGGGUGGAGCUUGCGGUUUAAUUGGAUUCAACGCCGGAAAUCUUACCGGGACCGACAGCAAUAUGAAGGCCAGGCUGAAGACUUUGCCGGAUUAGCUGAGAGGUGGUGCAUGGCCGUCGUCAGUUCGUACUGUGAAGCAUCCUGUUAAGUCAGGCAACGAGCGAGACCCACGCCCACAGUUGCCAGCGUACUCUCUGGAGUGACGGGUACACUGUGGGACCGCCGCUGCUAAAGCGGAGGAAGGAAUGGGCAACGGUAGGUCAGUAUGCCCCGAAUAUCCCGGGCUACACGCGAGCUACAAUGGUUGGUACAAUGGGUAUCUACCCCGAAAGGGGACGGGAAUCUCCUAAAACCAAUCUUAGUUCGGAUUGAGGGCUGCAACUCGCCCUCAUGAAGCUGGAAUCCGUAGUAAUCGCGUUUCAGCAGAACGCGGUGAAUACGUCCCUGCUCCUU
This 468-nucleotide ribosomal RNA is filed under the name uncultured Methanosaeta sp. RNAcentral's name for it is "bacterial SSU rRNA". It matches the Rfam family "Archaeal small subunit ribosomal RNA", at positions 871 to 1337 of the family's 1478-position model. Lineage: Archaea; Methanobacteriati; Methanobacteriota; Methanomicrobia; Methanotrichales; Methanotrichaceae. The record is from RNAcentral.